This 451-nucleotide ribosomal RNA is filed under the name uncultured bacterium. RNAcentral describes it as "partial 16S ribosomal RNA". It matches the Rfam family "Bacterial small subunit ribosomal RNA", at positions 354 to 796 of the family's 1533-position model. The record is from RNAcentral.
GUGGGGAAUAUUGUACAAUGGGGGGAACCCUGAUCCAGCCAUGCCGCGUGUGUGAAGAAGGCCUUUUGGUUGUAAAGCACUUUAAGCGAGGAGGAGGCUACCGAGAUUAAUACUCUUGGAUAGUGGACGUUACUCGCAGAAUAAGCACCGGCUAACUCUGUGUCAGCAGCCGCGGUAAUACAGAGGGUGCAAGCGUUAAUCGGAUUUACUGGGCGUAAAGCGCGCGUAGGUGGCCAAUUAAGUCAAAUGUGAAAUCCCCGAGCUUAACUUGGGAAUUGCAUUCGAUACUGGUUGGCUAGAGUAUGGGAGAGGAUGGUAGAAUUCCAGGUGUAGCGGUGAAAUGCGUAGAGAUCUGGAGGAAUACCGAUGGCGAAGGCAGCCAUCUGGCCUAAUACUGACACUGAGGUGCGAAAGCAUGGGGAGCAAACAGGAUUAGAUACCCUAGUAGUCC